Molecule: ribosomal RNA, 342 nt
Filed under: uncultured bacterium
Lineage: Bacteria
Description: bacterial SSU rRNA
Rfam family: Bacterial small subunit ribosomal RNA
Source: RNAcentral
UGAGUGGCGGACGGGUGAGUAACGCGUGGGUAACCUGCCUCAUACAGGGGGAUAACAGUUAGAAAUGACUGCUAAUACCGCAUAAGCGCACAGUGCUGCAUGGCACAGUGUGAAAAACUCCGGUGGUAUGAGAUGGACCCGCGUCUGAUUAGCUAGUUGGUGGGGUAACGGCCUACCAAGGCGACGAUCAGUAGCCGGCCUGAGAGGGUGAACGGCCACAUUGGGACUGAGACACGGCCCAAACUCCUACGGGAGGCAGCAGUGGGGAAUAUUGCACAAUGGGGGAAACCCUGAUGCAGCGACGCCGCGUGAGCGAAGAAGUAUUUCGGUAUGUAAAGCUCU